CCCACCCUGACAUGUCCUCUCCCUUCCGCCGGCUUCAAGCCUUGCUGUCCCUCCCGCUCCCGCUCUCCCUAAGUAUCUUGGGGCUGCCUGUCUGCCCCAUUAAACUCCCUGGGGACAGGAUCGCGUAACCUUUGCUUCCGGCCCAACUUCCCAAGUGUUCGGCACAGCGCUCUGCCCCUGCCCCAAUUGCCCCCGUCCUACGCUAUAAGUGUCCAUAAAUGCCGCUGAUAUCGACUGAUUCAUUGCAGCAGCAAAGUGGCUUUGAAAGUGCCGACGCUUCGGAACGGAAGGGAACUCGACCCCGACGAUCGUGGGAGCGAUUCCGCGGGAGAGCUCGGCUGGUCCCGGGCCCGAGGCCUGGGCCAGGGUACGGGAUCGUAGGGGGAGUCGGCGGUGGAUCGGAAGUCGGGAGGUGCAGCCGGCUGGCCUGUGGGGAAUAACUUCAUCUGUCUGCCUCACAGGGUGCUCACGGGGUGUGCUCACGGGGUGCUCUCAAGGUGCUUGCAGGGUACUGGGCGCUCGGCCAUAUCUGGCUCGCUUGGUGCGAGCCAGGCCCCGGACUUUGGUCCAGUUGACUGGGAUGUAUCCCUUGUUUGCUCCGGACAGCAGGGGAGUAGGGAAUAAAGCCAGAUGGCGGGGCAGGGAGUGGGCUCCGAGGGGACAGAACGACAAAGACACUCGUGCAGAUAAAGGGGAGUCCUCCCCCUCAGGAGGGAAGCAAUGGAGGAGUUGGAGAGGGAUCCCCGCCCGAGCAGUUGAGAAAGACCAUGGCCCCGGUGGAGUUGAGUUCCCUGGAACAAACCGCCAGCGGAUUCAGAGAACUCCAGUUUUCGGGAGCGAUAUUGCAAGAGCUGACCUUUGGUUUCAGUGGAGAGGAAAAACACAAUUUCUGUCACCCACUGAAAAGGAUGGUCUCAUGGGAUUCUCUCUGCAAGCAAAUCCUGAUUUCCACUGACAAAGUGGAGAUUCACCUAAAUAAAUAAAAAUUUUAAAAAAUGUUGGUAUUUGUUAAGCGCUUACUAUGUGCAGAGCACUGUUCUAAGCGCUGGGGUAAACACAGGGGAAUCAGGUUGUCCCACGUGGGGCUCACAGUCUUAAUCCCCAUUUUACAGAUGAGGGAACUGAGGCACAGAGAAGUGAAGUGACUUGCCCACAGUCACACAGCUGACAAGUGGCAGAGCUGGGAUUCGAACUCAUGAGCCCUGACUCCAAAGCCCGUGCUCUUUCCACUGCGCCACACCUAAUGGGCCUUAAAUAAAAACAUAACAAUAAUAAUAAUAAUGUUGGUAUUUGUUAAGCGCUUACUCUGUGCCGACCACUGUUCUAAGCGCUAGGGUAGAUACAGGGGAAUCAGGUUGUCCCACGUAAGAUUCACAGUCUUAAUCCCCAUGUUACAGAUGAGGUAACUGAGGCCCAGAGAAGCGAAGUGACUUGCCCAAAGCUACACAGCUGACAGCUGGCGGAGGUGGGAUUAGAACCCAUGACCUCUGACUCCUAAGCCCGAUCUCUUUCCACCGACCCAUGCUGCUUUCUAUCAAAUUAGUCUUGAAUGAAACAUUUCUAUUUAACUGUAGCUCAUGCUCUAAUCUAUAAACUCCCUGUGGGCAGGGAAUGUGUCUGCUAACUCUGUUGCACUGUACUCUCCCAAGUGCUUAGUACAGUGCUCUGCACAUAUAUCAAG
This 1681-nucleotide long non-coding RNA is filed under the name Ornithorhynchus anatinus (platypus). RNAcentral's name for it is "lncRNA (ENSOANG00000050373.1)". Lineage: Eukaryota; Metazoa; Chordata; Mammalia; Monotremata; Ornithorhynchidae. The record is from RNAcentral.